Long non-coding RNA from Maniola jurtina (meadow brown), 138 nucleotides. RefSeq lists it as uncharacterized. Lineage: Eukaryota; Metazoa; Arthropoda; Insecta; Lepidoptera; Nymphalidae. The transcript has 6 exons. The record is from RefSeq and is a predicted model, not a curated record.
UAACUAUACCCACGCAAACAAUCCGUCAAUCCGUUGUUCCAUAGCGACGUGAUUGAAGGACAACCCAACAACUAAACACACUUUUGCCAUUAUAAUACGGAUAAUGAUAGGUUUUUGCAAUGUUUACAUAUAGUUGAU